This 213-nucleotide small nucleolar RNA is filed under the name Castor canadensis (American beaver). RNAcentral describes it as "Small nucleolar RNA U3 (ENSCCNG00000013534.1)". It matches the Rfam family "Small nucleolar RNA U3". Rfam says of the family: Small nucleolar RNAs (snoRNAs) are involved in the processing and modification of rRNA in the nucleolus. There are two main classes of snoRNAs: the box C/D class, and the box H/ACA class. Lineage: Eukaryota; Metazoa; Chordata; Mammalia; Rodentia; Castoridae. The record is from Rfam by way of RNAcentral.
AAGACUAUACUUUCAGGGAUCAUUUCUAUGGUUUGUUACUAGAGAAGCUUCUCUGAUCGUGUAGAGUACCUGAAACAAGGAGGAGGUGCAGUGCUCUCUCCUGAGUGUGAAGCUGGCUCUUGGUAUUGCUUUAUUGCAACUGCCACUUGCCAUUGAUGAUUGUUCUUCCUUACUCUCUUACAAGAGAAUGGGAGGGAGUGAGCUCAAGAAUGU